UCUGCCUAUCUCUCUGCCUGUCUCUCUAUCUCUGCCUGUCUAUCUGUCUGUCUCUCUGCCUGUCUCUCUGCCUAUCUCUCUGCCUGUCUCUCUAUCUCUGCCUGUCUAUCUGUCUGUCUCUCUGCCUGUCUCUCUGCCUAUCUCUCUGCCUGUCUCUCUAUCUCUGCCUGUCUAUCUGUCUGUCUCUCUGCCUGUCUCUCUGCCUAUCUCUCUGCCUGUCUCUCUAUCUCUGCCUGUCUAUCUGUCUGUCUCUCUGCCUGUCUCUCUGCCUAUCUCUCUGCCUGUCUCUCUAUCUCUGCCUGUCUAUCUGUCUGUCUCUCUGCCUGUCUCUCUGCCUAUCUCUCUGCCUGUCUCUCUAUCUCUGCCUGUCUAUCUGUCUGUCUCUCUGCCUGUCUCUCUGCCUAUCUCUCUGCCUGUCUCUCUAUCUCUGCCUGUCUAUCUGUCUGUCUCUCUGCCUGUCUCUCUGCCUAUCUCUCUGCCUGUCUCUCUAUCUCUACCUGUCUCUCUGUCUGUCUCUCUGCCUGUCUCUCUGCCUGUCUCUCUGCCUAUCUCUCUGCCUGUCUCUCUGCCUAUCUCUCUGCCUGUCUCUCUAUCUCUGCCUGUCUAUCUGUCUGUCUCUCUGCCUGUCUCUCUGCCUGUCUCUCUAUCUCUGCCUGUCUAUCUGUCUGUCUCUCUGCCUGUCUCUCUGUCUCUCUGCCUGUCUCUCUGCCUAUCUCUAUGCCUGUCUCUCUGCCUAUCUCUCUGCCUGUCUCUCUGUCUCUCUGCCUGUCUCUCUGCCUAUCUCUCUGCCUGUCUCUCUAUCUCUCUGCCUAUCUAUCUGUCUAUCUCUCUGCCUGUCUCUCUGCCUAUCUCUCUGCCUGUCUUUCUAUCUCUCUGCCUAUCUAUCUGUCUAUCUCUCUGCCUGUCUCUCUGCCUAUCUCUCUGCCUGUCUCUCUAUCUCUCUGCCUAUCUAUCUGUCUAUCUCUCUGCCUGUCUCUCUGCCUAUCUAUCUGUCUAUCUCUCUGCCUGUCUCUCUAUCUCUCUGCCUGUCUAUCUGUCUAUCUCUCUGCCUGUCUGUCUGUAUCUGUGUUUGUGUCUGUCUGUCUGUCUUUCUGCCUGCCUGUCUGUCUGUAUCUGUGUUUGUGACUAUCUGUCUGUCUGUCUGUCUGUCUGACUGUUUGUCUCUGUCUGUCUGUCUGUCUGUCUUCUUGCCUUCAUUGUGCUGCCGCCUCUUUUGAGCUGUUUUUGCUGAGCAACACAUUUAUGUUUGUUUAGCUCACGGCCGUUUAGCUCCGCCCAC
Pygocentrus nattereri (red-bellied piranha) is the source of this 1279-nucleotide long non-coding RNA. NCBI's taxonomy places the organism in Eukaryota, Metazoa, Chordata, Actinopteri, Characiformes, Serrasalmidae. The record is from Ensembl.